Molecule: long non-coding RNA, 502 nt
Organism: Corvus hawaiiensis (hawaiian crow)
Lineage: Eukaryota; Metazoa; Chordata; Aves; Passeriformes; Corvidae
Exons: 6
Source: RefSeq, a predicted model, not a curated record
GCCCCACACCGGGUGAGGGGGUUCCCGCAGGAAGGUAGUAAAGCCGGAUAUUGAUGUUUAAGGUUGAUGGAGUGACGUAAAAGCGGUCCACUCACAAGAUGUCCCGGCCCAGAAUGCCAGAGGCCAGGUGCUGCCGCCGCCCUAGGCGUGCCAAGGAACAGAGGCGAGCAGGCAAGUUGGCAUUAAGGUACCAUGAGCCGGUGUGGAGCCAAGUUUGGAAACAGUGUAAGAGACAGUCCAAAGAUCCCUCAUUUGCCUCAGGAUCAUUGCCGAGGACAGAGACUGAGCACAGGAGUCCUGGCCUGGCUGAGGUGGGAAGGACUGCGCUGAAGGGGAAAGGAAUGACCUGUCCUGUACACCUGUCUUGUACGUCUGUCCUGUACCCAUUUCCCAAAGCAACGGACCCCAUAACAACAGCUGUAGGUUUCCCAACCUCUUGGCCAGUUGCCCCUCACUUCUGAAAAGGACAUAAAGGGACUUUCUGAAAUAACCGCGUCUGAGA